Talpa occidentalis (Iberian mole) is the source of this 165-nucleotide small nuclear RNA. RefSeq annotates it as U1 spliceosomal RNA. The record is from RefSeq and is a predicted model, not a curated record. The transcript has a single exon. Lineage: Eukaryota; Metazoa; Chordata; Mammalia; Eulipotyphla; Talpidae.
AUACUUACCUGACAGGAGCGAUACCAGGAUCACAAGGGUGGUUUUCCCAGGGUGAGGCUUAUCCACUGCACUCGCAUGUGCUGACCCCUGUGAUUUCCCCAAAUGUGGGAAACUCGACUGCAUAAUUUGUGGUGGAGGGGGGGACUGCGUUCGUGCUCUCCCCUG